RNAcentral lists this unclassified non-coding RNA (404 nucleotides) under soil metagenome. Its description in RNAcentral is "partial contains 5.8S ribosomal RNA, internal transcribed spacer 2, and large subunit ribosomal RNA". The stretch from base 1 to 121 matches the Rfam family "5.8S ribosomal RNA", at positions 35 to 154 of the family's 154-position model. The record is from RNAcentral.
GAUGAAGAACGUAGCGAAAUGCGAUAAGUAAUGUGAAUUGCAGAAUUCAGUGAAUCAUCGAAUCUUUGAACGCACCUUGCGCCCUUUGGCUAUUCUGAAGGGCAUGCCUGUUUGAGUAUCGUGAACACCUCAACUCUCAUGGUCUGCCAUGAUGAGCUUGGACUUUGGGGGUCUUGCUGGCCUACUGUCAGCUCCUCUCAAAUGAAUCAGCUUACCAGUGUUUGGUGGCACCACAGGUGUGAUAACUAUCUACGCUUGUGGUUUUCCACCAUGUAACCUUCAGCAGUGGAGGUUCGCUGGAGCUCACAGAUGUGUCUCUCCUCAGUGAGGACAGCUCUUUGAAUGUUUGAUCUCAAAUCAGGUAGGACUACCCGCUGAACUUAAGCAUAUCAAUAAGCGGAGGA